UAGAGCUGUUCGUGUUGCCCUAG
Molecule: non-coding RNA, 23 nt
Filed under: Mus musculus (house mouse)
Lineage: Eukaryota; Metazoa; Chordata; Mammalia; Rodentia; Muridae
Source: RNAcentral